This 1022-nucleotide ribosomal RNA is filed under the name Mycobacterium tuberculosis. RNAcentral's name for it is "bacterial SSU rRNA". It matches the Rfam family "Bacterial small subunit ribosomal RNA", at positions 54 to 1080 of the family's 1533-position model. Lineage: Bacteria; Bacillati; Actinomycetota; Actinomycetes; Mycobacteriales; Mycobacteriaceae. The record is from RNAcentral. RNAcentral also lists the same sequence under 1 other name.
CAUGCAGUCGACGGAAGGUCUCUUCGGAGAUACUCGAGUGGCGAACGGGUGAGUAACACGUGGGUGAUCUGCCCUGCACUUCGGGAUAAGCCUGGGAAACUGGGUCUAAUACCGGAUAGGACCACGGGAUGCAUGUCUUGUGGUGGAAAGCGCUUUAGCGGUGUGGGAUGAGCCCGCGGCCUAUCAGCUUGUUGGUGGGGUGACGGCCUACCAAGGCGACGACGGGUAGCCGGCCUGAGAGGGUGUCCGGCCACACUGGGACUGAGAUACGGCCCAGACUCCUACGGGAGGCAGCAGUGGGGAAUAUUGCACAAUGGGCGCAAGCCUGAUGCAGCGACGCCGCGUGGGGGAUGACGGCCUUCGGGUUGUAAACCUCUUUCACCAUCGACGAAGGUCCGGGUUCUCUCGGAUUGACGGUAGGUGGAGAAGAAGCACCGGCCAACUACGUGCCAGCAGCCGCGGUAAUACGUAGGGUGCGAGCGUUGUCCGGAAUUACUGGGCGUAAAGAGCUCGUAGGUGGUUUGUCGCGUUGUUCGUGAAAUCUCACGGCUUAACUGUGAGCGUGCGGGCGAUACGGGCAGACUAGAGUACUGCAGGGGAGACUGGAAUUCCUGGUGUAGCGGUGGAAUGCGCAGAUAUCAGGAGGAACACCGGUGGCGAAGGCGGGUCUCUGGGCAGUAACUGACGCUGAGGAGCGAAAGCGUGGGGAGCGAACAGGAUUAGAUACCCUGGUAGUCCACGCCGUAAACGGUGGGUACUAGGUGUGGGUUUCCUUCCUUGGGAUCCGUGCCGUAGCUAACGCAUUAAGUACCCCGCCUGGGGAGUACAGCCGCAAGGCUAAAACUCGAAGGAAUUGACGGGGGCCCGCACAAGCGGCGGAGCAUGUGGAUUAAUUCGAUGCAACGCUAAGAACCUUACCUGGGUUUGACAUGCACAGGACGCGUCUAGAGAUAAGCGUUCCCUUGUGGCCUGUGUGCAGGUGGUGCAUGGCUGUCGUCAGCUCGUGUCGUCAGAUGUAGGGU